Molecule: long non-coding RNA, 226 nt
Organism: Hemicordylus capensis (graceful crag lizard)
Lineage: Eukaryota; Metazoa; Chordata; Lepidosauria; Squamata; Cordylidae
Exons: 2
Source: RefSeq, a predicted model, not a curated record
AGGGCCUGUUCUGCUCAAAGUCUUACAAGACACUUAUUUCUUCAAUGAAGCUUCCUAAAUAAAUAUUACAGGCAGCGCAGAUGUGCAAGGUCCUUCAAAGACGCUUCACCAUCUCGUGGGAUCAAGGACCCAGUGACCAGCUGGACAAUUGGUGCAUCAGUGCUGGGAGUCUUGAGCAGAUCAGUGGUUUCUUGCUGGAACGAGUAAAUGCACGUAGUCGCUGGCA